AUCAGCAGUCAUUUCCGUGAUAGAGUGUGGCUGGCACCUGGGAGUGCCCUACAGGACAUCCUCCAAAACCUGGUGGCUAAUACACGUUCGCGCGGGUCUGCCACGCUACAACCCUGCUGUGACCCCUGUGGCCCGUCCAUCGGGAUGCCCACACAGGUGGAAGAUCGCACCCGGUCGCUGGUGAAGACCAGCGCCCGGUCAACGGCAGUUGUGCGUGGUUGACUCAGGCCGGUCCCUCCGCGGGACGCCGGCGUUGGCAGAGUGAUGUGGCUCCGGCCACAAGCAUGCUUGAUCACACAAACUUCUGACCUAUCAGCUCAGGACUGUGGCGUAGUGGCCCACAGUGGCGGCAACGGGUAACGGAGAAUUUGGGUUUGAUUCCGGAGAGGGAGCCUGAGAAACGGCUGCCACUACCAAGGUGGGCAGCAGGCACGCAAAUUGCCCAAUACAGGAGCACUCUUGUGAGGCAGCGACGAGCAGUAGCAAUCCCGCCAGCAUUAUCGCUGGUGGGACUUGGAAUGGAUGCAAUCCAAACACC
This 538-nucleotide ribosomal RNA is filed under the name Euglenaria caudata. RNAcentral describes it as "bacterial SSU rRNA". It matches the Rfam family "Eukaryotic small subunit ribosomal RNA", at positions 105 to 533 of the family's 1831-position model. Lineage: Eukaryota; Euglenozoa; Euglenophyceae; Euglenales; Euglenaceae. The record is from RNAcentral.